This is a long non-coding RNA of Ochotona princeps (American pika), 482 nucleotides long. RefSeq lists it as uncharacterized. NCBI's taxonomy places the organism in Eukaryota, Metazoa, Chordata, Mammalia, Lagomorpha, Ochotonidae. The record is from RefSeq and is a predicted model, not a curated record. The transcript has 3 exons.
UGUUUCCCUGGCAGGCGCGCAGUGGCAAGCGCUGAACUCUGCGCUGCGCAGGGGUGGGGAGCAGAAAGUGCGUAGAAGUGUUGCUAGUCCCACUGGACACCGUGCUGUCACGCACAAGUUGCAGCGAACUUUCCCCACCGUUAAGAAGGACCAAGUAGGGUGGAAGAUUAACCGAAACUGCAGUUUCAGAUUUGACACGCCUGUACGUCUGUCAGAUUUUACCAAGAUGGAGAGCUAUGGGAAAGCAAGGAUGGAGGCAGACAUUUGGGCCAGUGACUGAUGUGCUGUGUAGUUCGUUUGCAUCCUAUGUCAGGCCCACAGUCUGACGGAUGUUUUCUGGGGCCAUUGUUCGGUGUUUGUGUGCAGCACACCCUGGGAGUUUGCAGUUUUGAUUACUUUUGUGAUGAUACAAAAGACAGUGCAACACUUUCCUUAGCCUCCAAAACUGAUCAAUGUUUGAUUGGAAAAUCACCUGAUUUUGA